Molecule: ribosomal RNA, 389 nt
Filed under: uncultured eukaryote
Lineage: Eukaryota
Description: partial 18S ribosomal RNA
Rfam family: Eukaryotic small subunit ribosomal RNA
Source: RNAcentral
CAAUAGCGUAUAUUAAAGUUGUUGCAGUUAAAAAGCUCGUAGUUGGAUUUCUGGUGGGGGUCGCUGGUCCGCUGCGAAAGCGGCGUGUACCGAUGCGUACCUACCGCCAUCCUCGGGGGGACUGCGUGUGGGAUUAGUUUCUCGUGCGUAUGGACGCCCGUCUUUUACUGUGAAAAAAUUAGAGUGUUCAAAGCAGGCUGAGGCCGUUGAAUACAUUAGCAUGGAAUAAUAAGAUAGGACCUUGGCGGUCUAUUUUGUUGGUUUGCACGCCAAGGUAAUGAUUAAUAGGGAUAGUUGGGGGUAUUCGUAUUCAAUUGUCAGAGGUGAAAUUCUUAGAUUUAUGGAAGACGAACUACUGCGAAAGCAUUUACCAAGGAUGUUUNCAUUAA